CCUACGGGGGGCUGCAGUCGAGAAUCUUCCGCAAUGGGCGAAAGCCUGACGGGGCGACGCCGCGUGGAUGACGAAGGCCUUCGGGUUGUAAAAUCCUGUCGCGAGGGAAGAACCGCUGGGGGUUAAUAGCCUUCCAGCCUGACGUUACCUCGAGAGGAAGCCAUGGCUAACUCCGUGCCAGCAGCCGCGGUAAUACGGAGAUGGCAAGCGUUGUUCGGAUUUACUGGGCAUAAAGCGCACGUAGGCGGAUCUACAAGUCGGUUGUGAAAUCCCGGGGCUCAACCCCGGAACUGCGGCCGAUACUAUAGAUCUAGAGCAUGAAAGGGGAGAGUGGAACUUCUGGUGGAGCGGUGAAAUGCGUAGAUAUCAGAAGGAACACCGGUGGCGAAAGCGACUCUCUGGUUCAUUGCUGACGCUGAGGUGCGAAAGCUAGGGGAGCAAACGGGAUUAGAUACCCUAGUAGUC
Molecule: ribosomal RNA, 465 nt
Filed under: uncultured bacterium
Lineage: Bacteria
Description: bacterial SSU rRNA
Rfam family: Bacterial small subunit ribosomal RNA
Source: RNAcentral